GGACUACCAGGGUUUCUAAUCCCGUUCGCUCCCCUGGCUUUCGUGUCUCAGCGUCAGCAGAUCCCCAGCAGACUGUUUUCACCUUCGGCGUUCCAAGUGAUAUCUACGCAUUUCACCGCUCCACCACUUGUUCCAUCUGCCCCUAGAUCGCUCAAGACCGCCAGUAUGCCCAGCAAUUCCCCGGUUGAGCCGGGGGAUUUCACAAGACACUUAACGGCCCGCCUACACACGCUUUAAGCCCAGUGAUUCCGCCUAACGCUCGGCACCUCUGUCUUACCGCGGCGGCUGGCAC
Molecule: ribosomal RNA, 292 nt
Filed under: uncultured bacterium
Lineage: Bacteria
Description: partial 16S ribosomal RNA
Source: RNAcentral